AACGAACGCUGGCGGCAUGCCUAACACAUGCAAGUCGAACGAGACCUUCGGGUCUAGUGGCGCACGGGUGCGUAACGCGUGGGAAUCUGCCCUUGGGUCCGGAAUAACUCAGAGAAAUUUGAGCUAAUACCGGAUGAUGACGUAAGUCCAAAGAUUUAUCGCCCAGGGAUGAGCCCGCGUAGGAUUAGCUAGUUGGUGAGGUAAAGGCUCACCAAGGCGACGAUCCUUAGCGGUCUGAGAGGAUGAUCAGCCACACUGGGACUGAGACACGGCCCAGACUCCUACGGGAGGCAGCAGUGGGGAAUAUUGGACAAUGGGCGAAAGCCUGAUCCAGCAAUGCCGCGUGAGUGAUGAAGGCCUUAGGGUUGUAAAGCUCUUUUACCCGGGAUGA
This 391-nucleotide ribosomal RNA is filed under the name uncultured bacterium. RNAcentral's name for it is "bacterial SSU rRNA". It matches the Rfam family "Bacterial small subunit ribosomal RNA", at positions 29 to 448 of the family's 1533-position model. The record is from RNAcentral.